CCUGAGUAUGCUCAGCUGCUGUUCAAGCUACAGAGUGCUACGGCCAUAAAUAAAUGAAGAUCUCCUCUAAAAACAACAAGCACUGGACCACCACAUUACAGGAAAACUUCAUUUUAAAGGUAACUUGGGCUCGAACAAGCAAUCCUGAACUGAAUCUUAGCAGGCGCUGACCAGUUUUCAAGAGCGGGGUAUGACAGGACUGUGACUGCUAGUUUUCAAUGUUUGUCUGCCAUCGAUGUAAAUAUUUCGGGCUUUAUUUGAAGGAAGCGCUUACCAGUUUCAACAAGCUCCCACCAGACCCGAAGGUCUUG
This is a long non-coding RNA of Varroa destructor (honeybee mite), 311 nucleotides long. RefSeq lists it as uncharacterized. Lineage: Eukaryota; Metazoa; Arthropoda; Arachnida; Mesostigmata; Varroidae. The record is from RefSeq and is a predicted model, not a curated record.